CAAUACUUACAAUGCUUGCAUCAAACAGGGAAUCCUUAAACAGAUCUAGAAAUUUAAAAAAGAAAAAAAAAAUCAAGUUGUAGUUUUCUUUCUUCUUUUUUUCCCCCCUUGGUGGUACUUGAGGACAGAACCCAGGGCCUCACACAUGCUAGGCAAGUACUCAACCACUGAGCUGUAUCCCCAGCCCUCAAGCCAUACUUUUCUCAAAACAAAAUUGUUUGCCUUAUCUUUGGGUUGAUAAGAUACUUUUAUUAAAUGAUAUAGACUCCCCAAUGAUUUUUAGAAUAUUGACAAAUAGUGGAUAACUGCUAUAAAUCAACAUAGAGCUUAUUUUCCUUUAGUAAAGCUGGAGGAAUAUUUGUUGCCCCACAGGUCCAUCUCUGCCCAGGCAAGUUCCAGUAAAUUCCCAAUGGAGUAGCUGCACCCUCACUUGGGCCUCUUGUCCUCCUAAGCCAUCCUAGAUGUUUUUUUUUUCUUUCUUUCUUUCUAUUUUUGAUUUAAUCGUAGCUGGACACAAUACCUUUAUUUUAUUUUUUGUAUGUGGUGCUGAGGAUAGAUCCCAGCACCCUGCAUGUGCAAGGUGAGCGCUCUACUACUGAGUCACAUCCCCAGCCCACCGUCCCAGUUCUUAAAUAGUAAAAGCCAACAGCAUGGCAACUUCUAUGGCAACUAGCUCCAAGUAUAACUACCCGAACCAAGCCCACGAGAGUCCAGGUAACACUGGAAAAGUACAAGUGCUUAUUUUUAAGUAUGUUACUUUUUCUCAGAUUUAAUCAAAAAGCUUUUGAUAAAGUUUGGGUUUAAACCAUUUGUAAUUCAUCUCUGAUGGGUUUGGCAAAGUUUCUUCCCCCUAUCUCUAGUAUUUUCACGUGGACAUGACACUAUUUAAAGUAAAGCUGUUUCUAAGCACACAAAUCAACAAGUAUAAGAUUAACUAUGACAACUUUGACUGAUAAAGAGCUUAGAAUGUACUGACAACGUGCCUUUGAAAGAAACUAGAUGUUGAAGUCAUCACACUAUAAAAGCAAACACAUUUUAGUGUAUAAAUUUGCAGAUUUUGUUUGUACCUUGGUUUUCUAUCUUAGGCUUAACAAAGAGUUAAGUACAGACUUUAGUAGACAGAUGGAUGUACCGAGUAUCUUGUUUUAAUUAGUAUUCUCUAAUUAUAGUGAGACUGAGCAUAUUUUGUGAUUUUUCUUGGUAAUUUUGUCUUCCUUUUCUGCUUAUAUUUUUGCCCAUUAAAUUUGUUUUUGCUUAUUAAUUUUCC
Molecule: long non-coding RNA, 1267 nt
Filed under: Marmota monax (woodchuck)
Lineage: Eukaryota; Metazoa; Chordata; Mammalia; Rodentia; Sciuridae
Source: RNAcentral